Molecule: ribosomal RNA, 397 nt
Filed under: uncultured bacterium
Lineage: Bacteria
Description: partial 16S ribosomal RNA
Rfam family: Bacterial small subunit ribosomal RNA
Source: RNAcentral
AUACGUAGGUGACAAGCGUUAUCCGGAUUUACUGGGCGUAAAGGGCGUGUAGGCGGUCUUGCAAGUCAGAAGUGAAAUUCCUGAGCUCAACUCGGGCGCUGCUUCUGAAACUGCAGGACUUGAGUGCUGGAGGGGAUAGCGGAAUUCCUAGUGGAGCGGUAAAAUGCGCAGAUAUUAGGAAGAACACCGGUGGCGAAGGCGGCUAUCUGGACAGUAACUGAAGCGGAGGCGCGAAAGCGGUGGGAGCAAACAGGAUUAGAUACCCUGGUAGUCCUCGCCGUAAACGAUGAAUACUAGGUGUAGGGGGUAUCGACUCCCUCUGUGCCGCAGUUAACACAAUAAGUAUUCCGCCUGGGGAGUACGGCCACAAGGUUGAAACUCAAAUGAAUUGACGGGG